RNAcentral lists this ribosomal RNA (470 nucleotides) under uncultured bacterium. Its description in RNAcentral is "partial 16S ribosomal RNA". It matches the Rfam family "Bacterial small subunit ribosomal RNA", at positions 28 to 507 of the family's 1533-position model. The record is from RNAcentral.
GACGAACGCUGGCGGCGUGCUUAACACAUGCAAGUCGAACGCUGAAGCACCAGCUUGCUGGUGUGGAUGAGUGGCGAACGGGUGAGUAAUACGUGAGUAACCUGCCCUUGACUCUGGGAUAAGCCCGGGAAACUGGGUCUAAUACUGGAUGCUACAUGUCACCGCAUGGUGGUGUGUGGAAAGGGUUUACUGGUCUUGGAUGGGCUCACGGCCUAUCAGCUUGUUGGUGAGGUAAUGGCUCACCAAGGCGACGACGGGUAGCCGGCCUGAGAGGGUGACCGGCCACACUGGGACUGAGACACGGCCCAGACUCCUACGGGAGGCAGCAGUGGGGAAUAUUGCACAGUGGGCGAAAGCCUGAUGCAGCGGCGCCGCGUGAGGGAUGACGGCCUUCGGGUUGUAAACCUCUUUCAGCAGGGAAGAAGCCACAAGUGACGGUACCUGCAGAAGAAGCGCCGGCUAACUACGUG